AAUUGGAGGCCAGUGAAUGGCAAGACUAGGAACACCUUUACUUUGUGGUGUCAAAAAAACUUUUCGUCUAAGUGAAAAGACUUAGAUAACAAAGGAAGACGAAAAGACCCCGCGGAGCUUUACCUCUUCUCGCGCUUCUGUUUACACACUUAAAAGUGCUUAAGGUUUGAUUGGGGCAAUCUCGGAAUCAUCAAAGCUUCCGAUUCUUUAGAAAUCACAUCUAAAACUUACUAAGGACCAAAAAGAAGCUACCCCGGGGAUAACAGCGUAAUCCAACUCAAGAGUACAUAUCGAAAGUUGGGUUUGCGACCUCGAUGUUG
Molecule: ribosomal RNA, 320 nt
Filed under: Cristaria plicata
Lineage: Eukaryota; Metazoa; Mollusca; Bivalvia; Unionida; Unionidae
Description: partial 16S ribosomal RNA
Rfam family: Bacterial large subunit ribosomal RNA (bases 66-320)
Source: RNAcentral